Dipodomys ordii (Ord's kangaroo rat) is the source of this 281-nucleotide non-coding RNA. The record is from Rfam. NCBI's taxonomy places the organism in Eukaryota, Metazoa, Chordata, Mammalia, Rodentia, Heteromyidae.
UGUGACGGCCAUCUGGCUGUGGCAUCUGUGGUCCUGUUGAUGCCCAAGGUUGAUUAGAUGAUGGCUGCCUCGGCCAGGUGUGACCCCUCUCUCACUGCUCUGUGAGCCUUUCUCCUGAAGCUGCUCCCUCUAGGAAAACAUUCCUGGAUAGGAGGACCCACUGUCGGUCAAGGGUAUGUAAAUGGAGCCCAAACCUCCAAACAAGCUCUAAGAAAGAUUGCAGUCUGCAGUGUUACUUAACACAUCUGAGUUAUUUCCUCAAACUAAGGUUGGUUUUUUUU